UCGGCCCAGGAAAGGCUGAUUCAGUUACAGGGUAAUUGACAGAAAAUCCAGCAGGACCUGGCGGUUGUAAUAGUAACAGCUAAACACGCAUUGCUUGCUUACCAUGUGCAGCCUCUGUGGUAUGUGAUGCCCAUGAAUGAUCCGAUCUUUUCCUGUCCAAACACUGUAUGAUCAAUCCUUGAAGGAAACCAAGGCCCCAGAAUAUGUUUCCAACUGCCAGUCGGUUAUAACUAAUGUACCCAGGAAUCUAAAUCUUGUGGUCUGACUCUUACCCACUGGAGAUACACUGCAGUGCACUGAUGAAGCCUAGGCAUUUACAGCAAGCUCGUGUGGCCUGGCCUGUUAAAGGACAUGUCAACAAAUUCCUGAGCAACCGGCUCCAGAGUGCCAAAAAUGAUGGACGGAGCAAACCUUUGAACGGUUCACAGCCAUCAACGAGCAUCCUCAGAGGAAUACCAGGCUCAGGGCAGGUCGGUGUUCUGCCUGGAAACCGGCAAGGAGGCAAGUCAUGAGAACACUGAACUCACUACAUCUUCCCGACCUCACGUUUCUGGUAAAGGAGACAACCUCUGCCCGCAGGACUUCCAGAAGCACUCAGGAGUGCCCCAUGAUUAUGCCAUAGCGACCUGGAGGAGCAGCAUACCUUCUGUAGUGAAAGGAAGUUUGAGAAAUAAGGAUUCAGUGUAUUUUUGGUUUUCACAUUAAAAGGCCUGUGUCCUUUCGUGCCAGCCCAGAUUCCACCCCAACCCUCACCCCCAACCAGGAAUACUUCAAAGAUAUUCUAAUAGGAAAGGUUGCCAGAUAAUUGUCAGAGAGGAUUAGCAUUAUCAGUGACCAAACUGUGAGCCUUUAGUCUUCUGGCAAGCCAAGUGGAGAGCACAGCCAGCUUCCCAAGCAGUUUCUAUGGAAAACAGAGAAGCAGCCCUUAUCCCUGGGUACCCAACUUAGGCAGCAUUUAGCACCCCAUAUGAGCAGACCACCUAUUCUUAGAACAGACCGGAUAUAGGGCACAUUGCCCUCAUUUCUAUUCUGUGAUAAAGA
Galeopterus variegatus (Sunda flying lemur) is the source of this 1041-nucleotide long non-coding RNA. RefSeq lists it as uncharacterized. The record is from RefSeq and is a predicted model, not a curated record. The transcript is spliced from 3 exons. NCBI's taxonomy places the organism in Eukaryota, Metazoa, Chordata, Mammalia, Dermoptera, Cynocephalidae.